This 1046-nucleotide long non-coding RNA is filed under the name Homo sapiens (human). RNAcentral describes it as "HSALNT0381832". Lineage: Eukaryota; Metazoa; Chordata; Mammalia; Primates; Hominidae. The record is from RNAcentral.
UAAGAAGUGCGUUUCACCCUCUGCCAUGAUUAUGAAACCUCCCCAGCCAUGUGGAACUGUGGGGUCUCCCUAUGUUGCCCAGGCUGAACUCCAACUCCUGGGCUCAAGCAAUGCUCCCAUCUCAGUCUCCCAAAGUGCUGAGAUUACAGUCUCGCUCUGUUGCCCAGUCUGGAGUACAGGUAUGAUCUUGGCUUACUGCAAGCUCCGCCUCCCAGGUUCAAGCAAUUCUUCUGCCUCAGUCUCCCAAGCAGCUGGGAUUAUAGGCCCGAGAAGGCAAGGGAGGGAGCAGGAACCAGAACCAGAGGAGGAAGAAGACAGCAGGAGAGAUGUUCUUCAGGGUGUCUGAUGUGAUGCCUGGAACUGCAGCAGCCAUUUUGCAACUGUGAGGGAAGCCAGUGGAGUCAAAACUGACCUACUGUGGAUGGAAAUACAAAUAGACAGAAAGAAUUAGGUUCUUGAUAACUUCAUGGAGCUUCUCUAAGAGCCUGUCCUACAUCCAGGUUUUUUUUUUAAUGAAAUAAUAAAGAUUCUUGUUGUUUGAACCACUUUCAGUUGGAUUUCCAGUUACUUGCAGCCCAAAGCCUUCUUUUUAAAUUUUUUACCCAAAGGCACCAAAACAUUCUAAUGGACACAGCUGCCAUCUACCAUGUUCAAGCCCCUGUGCAAGCUCUCUUAGCUUCCACUGAGUGCAGGUCAAGCCUUCCUGUUUCUUCUGCUGACCACAGAUUUGCACUAACUGCAUCAGAUUCAGUGAGAAUUUCAAAUCCUUUUUCAAUCUAUGAGAAAAUAAACAGACAGAAAUAGGUCAUGGGGGUGUUCUUCCCUUAACUUAGGAGAAACUGAGGAGAAAUCCAGCUAAAGGCAGUGGAGAUAGUGGGGGCAUUAAUCUGAGUCUCUGGGAUGGUCAGGAGAGAGAGCAAAGGUAAGAGACUGGUUCCCAUUACCCACCUCCCUGAGAGGUGUGGUGCAUUCACAGAGACCCAGGUUCUGAGCCUUCAUUUCCCUGUCCAUCAGCUAAAGGGUAAAGUGGGCCCCACCCAAUCUGG